GGNAGCGAUACCCGCCGGCGACCGGCGCACGGGGGAGUAACGCGUAUGCAACUUGCCUAUCAGAGGGGGAUAACCCGGCGAAAGUCGGACUAAUACCGCAUGAAGCAGGGGCCCCGCAUGGGGAUAUUUGCUAAAGAUUCAUCGCUGAUAGAUAGGCAUGCGUUCCAUUAGGCAGUUGGCGGGGUAACGGCCCACCAAACCGACGAUGGAUAGGGGUUCUGAGAGGAAGGUCCCCCACAUUGGUACUGAGACACGGACCAAACUCCUACGGGAGGCAGCAGUGAGGAAUAUUGGUCAAUGGCCGAGAGGCUGAACCAGCCAAGUCGCGUGAGGGAUGAAGGUUCUAUGGAUCGUAAACCUCUUUUAUAAGGGAAUAAAGUGCGGGACGUGUCCCGUUUUGUAUGUACCUUAUGAAUAAGGAUCGGCUAACUCCGUGCCAGCAGCCGCGGUAAUACGGAGGAUCCGAGCGUUAUCCGGAUUUAUUGGGUUUAAAGGGUGCGUAGGCGGCCUUUUAAGUCAGCGGUGAAAGUCUGUGGCUCAACCAUAGAAUUGCCGUUGAAACUGGGGGGCUUGAGUAUGUUUGAGGCAGGCGGAAUGCGUGGUGUAGCGGUGAAAUGCAUAGAUAUCACGCAGAACCCCGAUUGCGAAGGCAGCCUGCCAAGCCAUUACUGACGCUGAUGCACGAAAGCGUGGGGAUCAAACAGGAUUAGAUACCCUGGUAGUCCACGCAGUAAACGAUGAUCACUAGCUGUUUGCGAUACACUGUAAGCGGCACAGCGAAAGCGUUAAGUGAUCCACCUGGGGAGUACGCCGGCAACGGUGAAACUCAAAGGAAUUGACGGGGGCCCGCACAAGCGGAGGAACAUGUGGUUUAAUUCGAUGAUACGCGAGGAACCUUACCCGGGUUCGAACGCAUUCGGACCGAGGUGGAAACACCUUUUCUAGCAAUAGCCGUUUGCGAGGUGCUGCAUGGUUGUCGUCAGCUCGUGCCGUGAGGUGUCGGCUUAAGUGCCAUAACGAGCGCAACCCUUGCCACUAGUUACUAACAGGUAAAGCUGAGGACUCUGGUGGGACUGCCAGCGUAAGCUGCGAGGAAGGCGGGGAUGACGUCAAAUCAGCACGGCCCUUACAUCCGGGGCGACACACGUGUUACAAUGGCGUGGACAAAGGGAAGCCACCUGGCGACAGGGAGCGAAUCCCCAAACCACGUCUCAGUUCGGAUCGGAGUCUGCAACCCGACUCCGUGAAGCUGGAUUCGCUAGUAAUCGCGCAUCAGCCAUGGUGCGGUGAAUACGUUCCCGGGCCUUGUACACACCGCCCGUCAAGCCAUGGGAGCCGGGGGUACAUGAAGUCCGUAACCGAAAGGAUCGGCCUAGGGUA
RNAcentral lists this ribosomal RNA (1380 nucleotides) under uncultured organism. RNAcentral's name for it is "SSU rRNA". It matches the Rfam family "Bacterial small subunit ribosomal RNA". The record is from RNAcentral.